RNAcentral lists this ribosomal RNA (496 nucleotides) under uncultured bacterium. RNAcentral describes it as "partial 16S ribosomal RNA". It matches the Rfam family "Bacterial small subunit ribosomal RNA", at positions 28 to 506 of the family's 1533-position model. The record is from RNAcentral.
GAUGAACGCUGGCGGCGUGCCUAAUACAUGCAAGUCGAGCGAACGGACGAGAAGCUUGCUUCUCUGAUGUUAGCGGCGGACGGGUGAGUAACACGUGGAUAACCUACCUAUAAGACUGGGAUAACUUCGGGAAACCGGAGCUAAUACCGGAUAAUAUUUUGAACCGCAUGGUUCAAAAGUGAAAGACGGUCUUGCUGUCACUUAUAGAUGGAUCUGCGCUGCAUUAGCUAGUUGGUAAGGUAACGGCUUACCAAGGCAACGAUGCAUAGCCGACCUGAGAGGGUGAUCGGCCACACUGGAACUGAGACACGGUCCAGACUCCUACGGGUGGCAGCAGUAGGGAAUCUUCCGCAAUGGGCGAAAGCCUGACGGAGCAACGCCGCGUGAGUGAUGAAGGUCUUCGGAUCGUAAAACUCUGUUAUUAGGGAAGAACAUAUGUGUAAGUAACUGUGCACAUCUUGACGGUACCUAAUCAGAAAGCCACGGCUAACUACGU